Molecule: long non-coding RNA, 212 nt
Filed under: Lathyrus oleraceus (garden pea)
Lineage: Eukaryota; Viridiplantae; Streptophyta; Magnoliopsida; Fabales; Fabaceae
Description: Pisum sativum (pea) long non-coding RNA (PSAT_LNC013154)
Source: RNAcentral
CGAAUUGCAGCUUGACACGGUCACUUUGGUGCAUCUCCACAGUGGUGAACCGCAUUAUGGCCGUUUUUGCUGUCCAAACAGCUGCAUCUUCGGGGUUGGGUUGAUGUUCCAAUCCCAAAUAUGGCCUCCAAAUAAACUGCAAAGAAAAAAGCAAAUAUGUUAUUUAUCGAGAAUGCAUGAUAUUAAUAAAUCAGUUAGAAGCUGAGUGAUUU